Molecule: ribosomal RNA, 253 nt
Filed under: uncultured bacterium
Lineage: Bacteria
Description: partial 16S ribosomal RNA
Rfam family: Bacterial small subunit ribosomal RNA
Source: RNAcentral
UACGUAGGGUGCGAGCGUUAAUCGGAAUUACUGGGCGUAAAGCGUGCGCAGGCGGUUCGUUAAGUCAGAUGUGAAAGCCCCGGGCUCAACCUGGGAACUGCAUUUGAAACUGGCGGGCUUGAGUGUGGCAGAGGGGGGUGGAAUUCCACGUGUAGCAGUGAAAUGCGUAGAGAUGUGGAGGAACACCGAUGGCGAAGGCAGCCCCCUGGGCUAACACUGACGCUCAGGCACGAAAGCGUGGGGAGCAAACAGG